GCUGUCGUCAGCUCGUGUUGUGAAAUGUUGGGUUAAGUCCCGCAACGAGCGCAACCCUUAUCCUUGUUUGCCAGCGAGUAAUGUCGGGAACUCCAGGGAGACUGCCGGUGAUAAACCGGAGGAAGGUGGGGACGACGUCAAGUCAUCAUGGCCCUUACGAGUAGGGCUACACACGUGCUACAAUGGCGCAUACAGAGGGCGGCCAACUUGCGAAAGUGAGCGAAUCCCAAAAAGUGCGUCGUAGUCCGGAUUGGAGUCUGCAACUCGACUCCAUGAAGUCGGAAUCGCUAGUAAUCGUGGAUCAGAAUGCCACGGUGAAUACGUUCCCGGGCCUUGUACACACCGCCCGUCACACCAUGGGAGUGGGCUGCAAAAGAAGUGGGUAGUUUAACCUUCGGGAGGACGCUCACCACUUUGUGGUUCAUGACUGGGGUGAAGUCGUAACAAGGUAGCGCUAGGGGAACCUGGCGCUGGAUCACC
RNAcentral lists this ribosomal RNA (480 nucleotides) under Vibrio vulnificus. RNAcentral's name for it is "bacterial SSU rRNA". It matches the Rfam family "Bacterial small subunit ribosomal RNA", at positions 1048 to 1527 of the family's 1533-position model. Lineage: Bacteria; Pseudomonadati; Pseudomonadota; Gammaproteobacteria; Vibrionales; Vibrionaceae. The record is from RNAcentral.